CUCUCGCCUCGGCCUGCUGUCGGGAUCCUCCGUCCGUUGGCGCGGCCGAGGCCGAGGGGCUGGGGCGGGCGGCCGGGAAGUGGGAAAGAGAGCCAGAGGCGCUCCUUUUGUCUUUUCUUCCCAUCCCCCAGCCACUUCAGGACUGAGAGGUGGAUGAUAAACCCUGUCAUAGUAGAGCAAGUUCAGGUGUUUAACACCUGUUACAUGGAAUCUGCCUUUCUCCCUCUUCUUUCUUACUCCCAUAAGUUUAUAUGUACAGAGAUUGAAAAAUAACCUUGAGAGAGUCCAUCCCUCUAACUCCAGUUUCCUACCAUAGGAACUUCUUGAAGAAUCAUUCUUAUGUCCAUUGUGUGACAUCUGCACCACACCAAUCUGAAAAAUGAAAGUGGUAAGAUGCAUCUACUGGCUGGCUGAGACCCAAAAAUACCAGUAAGUAGGAAAAUCAACCAAGCUGCUUUGAAUUUUUCUGUGGGAAGACAGAUCUGGAUAUUUACUGAAAACUAUCAAAUUGGAAUCAUCUUGUAUAGCUUGGAGAACUGUAGCAAUAUAUCCCAAGGCCACUCAAGUCUUCCUUACUAUCCUCUUUAAAUUGUGCCAGGAAACCUCUUUCUGAGUGCAAUUACUUUCACAGGAUGAAUAGAAUGUAGGGGUUUUUCUAUUGCUGCCCUUGUUUCAUAUCAAAGGACUCUAAAUUUAAUGAAAUAUAACUGUAAAUUCAUUAAGAAAUACAUUUACAGCUUUAAUAUUUGUGCUCCCUAAUAUAUACCUAAAUGGUUCCUGAAAGCUAAACAAUGAUGUAGGUAGUUGAUUAACUUAAAACAUUAUCUCUAAAUGGAACAUAGUGUAUUUAUAGGGAAAGAGUUGAUUAAUGUUGAACAGGAAAAUGAGAGGAACUGAUGGAAAUAUUCACCAAGGAGUUACACCUGAGAUGCCAAGUUUCUAAAUGUAAUGCCUUUUCUUAUCUCUAUAAUGAAAAUUGUCAUUAGGAAGAUGGCAGAAGUAGGUUGUUACUGCUGGUAAUGAAAUAAGACAUGAAACACUUGAGAGUCUGUUCAUAAAAUUGUAUUUAUCAGUAGAAGGGAAAAUUACCUCAUUUAGGUUUUACAGAAAGACGCUAACGUACAUGUUAAAAACAACAGAUUCUGUUAUAUUAUUCUGAUAAUUUAAAGCAUACAUGAAGCAUAGGCUGUUUGUUUUAAAUGGAUAAAUACCAUGAAAGGAUACUUUACAGUUCAAAAUUAAAUUUUAUAGUUUUAUAACUAACAAAAUGGUGUAGAUCCAUAAAUACAUAAUUUGGUAUAUACAGCUAUUUAUCUGUUAAUCAAGAGAGAGAGAAAGAGAGAAUGGCUUUUGAAAUAUUCUGAGAAUCUCUAUUUGACUCAUUGUAGAAAAAUUGGAAAAAAUGAUCAAUAAUGAAAAGGAAAUUUAAGUAACCCAUAAUCCCACUUCAGAGUUCACUACUGUGACCACAUUAUUAUAUUUUGGGGGGACAAUUUGACAGUUUGUAUCAAAAUAUGUACCUAGUUCUUGAUUCAAAAAGUACUUACCUCAAAAAAAUAGUAACUGGAUGGGUGUUGACCCAGCUGGUUUCACAAAUACCAUAAACUGGGUGGCUUAUAAACAAAAGACCAUAAACUGGGUGGCUAUAAACACUAGAAAUUUAUUUCCCACAAUUUUGGAGGUUUGAAAGUCCACGGUCAACGUGCCAAACGACUCUGUAUCUGGUGAGGGCCCACUUUCUGGUUCAUAACCAUCCUCUUGCUGUGGCCUCACAUGGUUGAACAGGCUAGUGAUCUCUCUGGGGUCUCUUUUAUAAGGGCCCUAUCCUAUUCUUGAGGUCUCUGUUCUUGUUAUCUAAUCACCUUCCCAAAGACCUCACCUCCUAAUACCAUUGCCUUGGGGUUAUGAUUUCGACAUGUAAAUUUGAGAGAGGCACAAACAUUCAGUCCAUAGAAGGUGCCUAGGGUAUUUAUUGCAGUGUUGUGACUAAUAAGUAGUUUUAAACCUGAAAUAUCACAUAUAAAGCUAUUUGUUAAAUUCAUUGUGCUCUAGCUAUAUAAGCAAACACUAAAUAGCAAUUAAGAAUGAUAUUGUGGAAGAACAUUUAAUGACAUUGAAAGAUGUUCACUAUAUAUGAUUAAGUGAAAAUAGUAGUGUCUAAAAUAAUAAAACACAUUAUAACUACACACAAAGUGACACACACACUCACAUACAUGUAUACAAACAGGCAUACCUUGUAGAUAUUGCAAGUUUGAUUCCAGACCACUGCGAUAAAGCCAAUAUUGCAAUAAAGCAA
RNAcentral lists this long non-coding RNA (2296 nucleotides) under Aotus nancymaae (Ma's night monkey). Its description in RNAcentral is "lncRNA (ENSANAG00000038932.1)". Lineage: Eukaryota; Metazoa; Chordata; Mammalia; Primates; Aotidae. The record is from RNAcentral.